CACCAUGCAUCUCAUGCCACGCAGUGGAUUUUCGAUUUUUUUCCUUUUCGUUAUUUUGCCUUUCUUGCACUUCACUACCUUCCUUUCGAAGGAAUCAACGCCUCUGCCCACUUCCGCCCCAUUCUCGCGCGCGAUACACAUACACAGACACACGAGUACACGCGAGUACAACCCAUCGUCUUUGCCGCUAUUGCUGGCAUAUGCUUCAUCCAUUUUUUUGUUUUCUUGGCGUUUGAGUGUGCAUGUGCGCCAAGGCUUAGUGGUAUAAGCCGCACUCACAUACUUUUCCGCUGCGCUCCUCCACUUGCUCCGCCCCCGCCCCCUUUCCUCUCUCGCUCAACCGCGGGGGGGCGUCGCUCUCUCUCCCUAUCCGAGAGGUGGCGGUGAGCGGCUGCGACGCACCCAUCUCCUCCUCUCGUUCUCUCUCCGCACUACGUCCCUCCUCUGCCAUCUUCGACGCGUUUUUCUAGUUUUUUUUUCUUUGGUUGCCCCCCUCCACCUCUUUUCCCUCUCUCCCUCUCUUUUCCCUUUUCGCCCUGCGCGCCUGUUUCCACGCACCCCUCAAGCUCUCCGCCCUUCCGUCCCUCUGCGUUGUAAAGCAAAAAAAAACAUCGACUAGAUGUUUAUACACAAACUUGCGAGCAGAAGCUGCACAUACUUAUCGCGCGACGAUCUGGGACCGACUCCCUCUCCCCCACCUCCGACUGAAGCACGUGCAUUCACAACGCGCUCUUCUUUAUUCGACUUCAGCACCCUUCGUUGAAUCUCUUCGGUGCGGCCGGUAGAGCUACUUCGUGUUGAGCUGCUCGUUCCUCUUUUUCGCUCCCUCCCUCUGCGCCGGCGAGUGUGACAGUGCCUGUGUGCCUUGGCGUGGCCCUGCGCGCCGGCGUUUGCGUUGGGCAUCGUGCCUUUGCGUCUUCGGUUGCUGUUUUCACUUCCUUUUUGUACACAUAACUCCUUGCUAGUGUUCUCCUCAGCCUCUUCCCCUCGCCUUCGCGCACCACGGAACACGUCAGCCCUCUGCCUCACUGCCUGACUCGGGCGCUUUUCUUUUUCUCGAGGGCGGCACGAUUGCGGCGACGGCGAGUAGCGCGCUCUCUGAGAGACCUUCCAUCUUGGCACUCCGCCCGGACUGUAGCCGUCGCCUACCGCUCCGCGCACUUUGUGCCGGUUGGCUGCAUUCGAAAGGGAGCGGGACGCACGAGCCACGGACGCUUUUGCGGCCCAACGCGACUUCUUCGUCGAGGCCCUCCCCGCCCCGCGUCGUCUCAGCUGCUUUGCUUUCUAGUGCGCCAAGAGAGGAGGACUCGAGGCACAGCGCGGCCGGUGGAAGGCGAGCGGCAGGCAGUCGUGCGAACGGGAGGCAGCACGUCGGAGCCGUUCUCUGAUAUCCCCUGCACACCCGCCAACGGUAGAUUUUACACGUAUACACUGCGGGUGCCUCCACUAAACACUCCCAAACGGAAUACGCUUCUUCAAGAUGGACUACGUGCUGGGCGUGCUGUACGUCACGAAGCGGUAUGAGCCGCUCGACACGUCGAGAGUGCACCCCGGUGGCUCGGUGCCGCACCGAACACAGUCAUCGCUUUUGCACCCCACUGCGUUUUCGAUGAACUCGCUGGCCGGCGUGCCGGUGAUGCCGGACAUCGUUGGUGCCGGCAGUGAGAACGACAAUGAUCACACCGCCGCUGCAGCGGAGUAUCUUCUCACCCCUAAGGCAGGUAGCACCAAUGUCUCAUGGGCAGUGCCUGUAUCGGUUACUGCGAAGGCCACACCGCUCGUCAAGGAGGCGAAGGUCGUUGAGGCUACGUCCCCGCUGCGGCGUGGCGGAAAUGCUGAGACAGAGCCGUCCUCGUCGCCUUUUCCGCCACGCACGCCUACACUAAGUGUCGACCGCGCCCCUGUGAUGACACUACCGCUGCACUUGCCAGGCUCCCGCCGUCGCUCGUCGUCCCUGGCAGCCAGUGGGAUGCUGCCCUUGCCUACGGCUGCCGCUGCGGCUGCGGCUGACCACACGCUUUCUUUUCCUCGUGAGGGCUCUGUGCUGAGCCCGUUAGUCCUGGGCGUGCCUACACCGGUUAUCACCAGUGACGCGGCCCACAGCGCGACCGGUGGAGGCGGUGGUCCAACAGCUUCUGGGGGACGCCCCGCUAUUCGGCCGCAACGACUAGAGUACAGCGUGCCCACCAAGGUGAUUGCGGGCAAGUACGUGCUGCUGUACCUCCCGCCGCCUCAACGGGCAGGCGAGACGUCCGCUGCGGGGUUGUGGGGCAGCGUUGGCGCUGGCAGUGCUCCGGUGUUCACUAGCUCCGGCGGCGCAGCUAGUGGUGGCGGUGGUGCCGGUGCCAGUGGCGCGCGUGCGCACCAGACAUCGACACUGCUGCAAAGUCCUCAGAUGGAUCCUUCAAAGCAGCGCCUAGGCUCCAGCACGUCGUCCUCUUCGUCCUUCAUGACCGGUGUAAGCCCUCAUACAAUGUCCGCCGGCGGCGUGCGGCCAAACUUCUCCGCGCCAAUGAGCAAGUCCGUCGACCCUUCAGUAUCCACGUCGACGGCGACGGUUGGCGGACACCACCUCAGUAAUCACCACGCCUCACACAGUGGUGCUGGCGGCGGCCCUGGCGCGGCGGCCCGGCAGGCCAUCGUACGCGCUGCUGCUGCCGCUGCGAGCACGCAGCAGAAGCUUCUCCUCUUCUACUGUCUCCUCCUGCAUGGUUUAGCGCACCAGAAGCUGAUGCAGGAGAAGACCAGCGCGCCGUUGCUGGAGGGUCGCGAUGACAUGGACCCGGCAACCACAGGGCCGGUUCCCGUCGCCGUUUUGGAGCUGCAGUACACGACAGAAGGACCAGUGCGCAGCAACCCGGGUGGGGUAUCGAGCACUUCCACCCUUGGUGGUAGCAUUGGCGCUUCUGCAGGGGCGGACGGACACGGCGGUGUAGCGUUGAUCUCUCCCGGGGGCACCGCAGGCGGUGGUGUCGGAGUGGGCAGCGCAGCUUCUCCGCCGCCCAGCGGCUCACGCACUCAAGUGUAUAGCCCUUUGCCAGUGUCCUUGUCCCCCCACAGCGGCCCUGACGGCGUACGCGGAGUCUCGAUGCAACCUGGCGCCUCCUUCAGCGGUGGUGGCCACUUGUCAACCACCGCCUCCGGCUCGGCUUCUCCGCGCGCAUCUUCCGCCAUUCCUUUGUUCCACAACGUCGGCGACCCUUUUGCGGCGCGGUCUGAGACUUGCGCAGAAGAGGGCAGCGCUACGGCUGCGGCAGUCUUGCGCGAGUUGUUGAGGGGCAGCCUCAGCAAUGCGGACGUGGUGGCCACGCAGCGGCUCAGCUCAGUCCUGCGCCACCUCCUCGAUGGCCAGCCGGACGUAUGGCUCAGCCCAGACAACAUUGUCUUCGACAGCGAGAUAACGCAGAGCCCGUACUAUGGCGGGUGGUACUCGGUGGAGAGCAACGACGGCUAUCGGCGAGUCAUGCAGAUGUGCAACAUACAGUCCUGGCCGGCCGUAGUGCUCGUCGACCCGGCUGGCAACGUCGUGACUGUGGAGGCGCUGCAUUACAUGGAGGAGGAGCUAGCACGCUACAUCGAUGAGGUGGACGCCAGCGUCGCAAGAGCGUCUGCACUACGUGCUGCGGCUCCCACCACUUCCCCCAUCGCGGCGGCCGCAUCACUAGCCACCGGCGCAGGGAGCACAUCGAAGUCUGCAACAGCGAAGGCUUUGGUGAGCGCGUCGUCUCCUUCGCCGCAGGCCAGCGAGGUCUCGCAGCAAGCGUCCGCUGUCCCGCCACUCCCUCAAUACAGGGCUGACAUCAUUGAACUAGACGUGACAGAGAAGUCGCGGUCGUCACCGCAGCCGCGCGCGCCACUCGUGGCGGAGUCGCCAGCAUUAUCGCUGUUGCAGGGCGUCGCCACGGCGGCGGGCCGCUCCAACACGAAUCCUCUGACCUCACACGUCGAGGUUGCGGCCGACGACGGCGACGCGUCCACUAGUGACUCCGCGCACACGCCAAAGAGGCGCAGCACAAGCUUAUUGGGCUCCACUGGCCGCCUUGAAAGCUCUGCCUCUGUACAUGACCCACAGAUCCCCACCGCCGAGCCCACCCCGAUAAAGGCGGCUCCUAUUACCGCGCACUACGUGGUGGACAGCAGUGGGCACUCGGCAACCUCGACAGCGACACCAGCGACGGCAUCGAUAUCGGCAGUGACCGUAUCUCCUCUGCUCCCCAACGCGAGCAUGAGCAAUAACGAGCUCGCUGCCGGCGUUCAGCAGGGUAUGAUGAGCCCCGGUCGGUUGGAGGCGAAGGACGAGCAGGGCGACGAACAAGGUGUGCUCAUCGCCGAGCAGCCGUUCGACACUGCAAUGCCGUCGCUCACUCGCUUCGCCACGGAUGACGACAGUGACAACACGUGGCAGAAGAAUGCAGACAAGGUGUGUAAGAAAUCGAUCAGCCUCACGACCCAGCCUUUGUGCCACCUCUCGAUGCCAGCGCUGUAUCGGAGUGCGACCACUACAGCGUCCUCGGCGACCUUCUCCCCCAACAACGUAUGCAUGACGAAGGGCCACGCAUCUUUCCCCAGCUGGGACCCAAAGGCCUACGGAGGCGACGUCGCCGGCGUGCUUGCAGUGAGUGACUUGGACUCGGAAAUGGACAUUCCCAAUCAACUGGGCAAGACGGAGGUUAGCGGCACCCGGGCGUCCAAAGAUUCCUCGUCAUCUGCCAGAGAAGAGGGGGGGAGGAACAAGGCGCCAACUAUUCAAGUCCCGUUAGCAUCUGCGCUACCGCUUGCAGAUGCCGUGGCGUCUAGCGCAGUGGCGCACGUGAAGACCGCGGAUGGCUUCAUCGCAGCCGCGCCAGGGGCUCCGUCAAUUUCACCGUCCUCCUCGCCAGCGCCGCUGCCGAUGUUUUCCUCACGGUUUCCAUGGAAUCGCGUGCUGGCGGAUCCGCUGACGGUGCACGCACCACUGUCCUUUGUGACAGCUAGCGUAGUCACAGCCACCACCGCCGCCUCUGCAGACGCACCGAAGAAGGACGAGAAUGCACCCAAGGGGGACAAGACCGGCUCGUCGCCGCCGUUGCCCUCCUUGCGUCCGUUCAGCCGUCGUGCGAGCGCAAUAACAUCACGCGGUGAGAGGCGACGUGGCGACGCGAAGGAUGGUAGAGAGGACUCGAGCGAUUUCGACCGAACCACAGGAUCGCCCUCGGCUGGGGCAGCAGGCGCUCGAUGCUCGACCACGCCAUCUAGAACGCCCGCUGCGACGGCGGUGGUGACGUCGUCCGCGGUGCCCCGGCACGCCGGACUCAGCAGCGCAUCGAACAGCAUCUCCGAGCCGCCGGCAGCUAUCGCCCUUUCGCACGACAACCUCUCUCCGCGGAGUGGUGGGAUGCGCGGAGCGGCGGCAGCGCCGCUGAUGUGGUCGGGGCGCCGCUUGCCGAUGCACCCGCUGCACCGCCUUGCCUUCUGCACAGUGACGGGGCGCGAGGUGCGGGAGCGGGCGCGUCAGGCAGCCAACGACACCGCCCUGUCGUCUUCAGAGCUUGGAAAGGCAAAUGGGCAGUCCAUCGCUGCGCCCGUGAUGCAGGAGGCUGUGCACCAGUCCAUGGCGGACGCCCCGAACGAAAGCCCCGUGCUUCCGUCCCUUUCAGUGGCGGACAGCGUCGACGACGCCAGCGCGCGUCGCCUGCCCGUGCAGCGUGGUUUAUCCUGCCAGCCCCGGUCGCCGCUGCCUUCCACCCCGGCGCCACCGCAACCGUCACUGUCGGACGCUGCGACGCAGCGGAUCAUGGAACGGCUGCUUGAGAACUGGCAGCGCGAGGUUUCAGUGAAGCUCCAUCAGUGCACGCAUCUCUUGAUCCUCUUCGGCGCUGGCUGGCAUCCAGGAAUGCCGAAGUUUGUGCGCGCGGUGCGCCGUCUAUACAGCGCCAUCAACCCACCCCCAUCUGCAUCGGCGGGCGCACCGGCCUCCAGGAAAGGGUCCCACGACGACGGCGGUGAUGCUGGGGGCUUGCGCGGAGGUCUGAGCGGCCUGAAGGUGCGGGGCUCCAACAGCCAGCUGAGCGCUGAGGACGAUGAUGUCGCACCGUUCGCUUCUUUGAAGGGCUUCGGCAACUCCUUGAUGGACUGGGCCGGCGGCGGCCUGGUCGGCUUUGCCGGUGGCUGUGGGGACGCUAGCAGUCGCCAUGACAUGCGCAGCUUCUGCAGCUUUGCUCACGCCGACGCUGACGGCGGCAACGCAUCCGAGGAAGGGGAGCGCAUGGCAAGUGCGUCUCCUUCCGUUGAGGCGGCUGCCGUGGCCGACAAAUGUGCCGCAUCGGACGCGGCACCGCGCCGCUGCGUGCAGGUCAUCUACGUCAGCGCCGAUGAGUCGCUGCAAGGCGUGUGCUCCGCCAUGACUGAGAUGCCGGCGGACUGGCUCUGCGUCUCCCCCUACGUGGCACAAAGCACACUGGAGCGUCAGCUACAGAAACACGCGAGUGAGAUGGCGCGCUGUAUUUUUCACGUCAAGUCCUUCCCGCGCAUGGUGGUCGUCGAGUUGCCCUCUGCACAGCAACAGCAGCAACCUACGAACGCAGGGCGCACGGCGGCCGUGCGUACCGGGGUCAUCAGCGCUGAAGACGGAGACGAGGUCGAGGACGAACUCGGCGACCCCGCUGGCACACUCAAGGCACUGUGCGACACCACCGUCAUGUCGCAGCAGCUGCUUGGGCAGCGGCUCGACGGACUUUGGAAGGUGGUGCAGCUGCACGGCGAGACGCACCUCUGCGAUGAUCCAGAGGGCAAGGAGUUUCCCUGGACUAGCGAGUCGGCUGAUGUGCUGCGCAUGAAGCACGAGAAUGUGUCGGCUUUUUCGCGCCUGGGGCAGCAGAUGUUCUCAUCCUUUACCAGUGACUUUCGGCAGCCGCAGCAAGAUCUUCUGCACACCGCUCUAUCUUCGCGUCCUUCGCCGCCGUUGAAGGGCAGCAGCCCAGACGUAUUCGAAGAUGCGAUGCUUCUGCGUUCUCCCACAGAGCUGUUGAGCGUGUCGGGUACAUCGACCAAGAAGGCGGCUGCCGUCGAAAAGGAUGGCUGGGCUGCCACCGCUGAUGCCGUGUCGCUGCACCAGCCAGUGGAGCGCCUCUUCCCACCCAUCAAACCGUUCCUCGUGGCAGACGGCGAGCUCCCGUCCCUGCUGGAGAGGGGUGGCUACUUUGUCGUCCUCGGCGCGUUCGGCUCCGUCGACUCGCAGCUGCACCAGCAGUGCGUCAACGCGCUUGAUGAGGUGCGACGGUGGUUUUACGCAGAGGUAGAGGCGCGCAAACAGCGUGCGUGGUCAGAGCCGACGCAGUUGCAGGUGAUGGCGCCGCACGGCACGUACGCAACGUCUUUCACUGUUGGCGGGGACCGGGUGACCUUGUCGCCCGCGGUGCUUCACGCCACCGCAGGUGGCAGCACCGGUUUGGAGGAGUACACAUUACCCACUCGCUACUCGCCGAGUAUCACGGCGGCCACAGCGCUGAGUGUUGCCUCCGGCGGAGCCGAUCUUGGCUCGGCUUCCGCGUUGCACCGCCCCGGCCACAUCAACUUCAGCAACCGUAGUGGCAGCGCGCCGCUAUUCUUGGAAGAUGGCUGGUCGGAAACGCGCGGAGGCCUGUCGCCCAAGCUUGCAGCGAUGAGCUCCCCGAUGCCUGGCCCACUCACUCUCCAGCUGGAUUCUCCCGCCGGAUUACACGGGCUUCACGUGAGCGGUGCCCAUUCACUGACGAGCGCUGCCACCGCGCACAAACCCGCCGCUGCCGCUCGCCCGUUGCCGACAGUGUACUUUUAUGACUCGAUCCUCAGCCAUCCGCCAGCGCCUGACUCACCGCCAUCCGCGCCAGCGACGCAUCACGGUGGUGGCGUGCGUGAGCAUGACGAGCACGGUGUCGACGAGGAGGGUGGGCUGCGGGUGAGGGCAACUCUGCUGCGCCAAGCGUCACCUGCGCCGACCGGCACACCAGCUGGGACUUUGCGUCGGCGGCUUGGUAGCGGUGGUGAGAGCGCGGAGGCCGCCGCCGCAUCUUCACCGUCGCUUGCACCACCGCCGCGUGUGCCGGAUAACACCUCGGCUCUUCGCCGUCAACACGCCAAGGACCUGGCACUCUUUCAGGAGUACAUCAUUGCGCCUAUUUUAGAGGCGGAUGAGAAGCAGCUGCCGGUGCGUGAGGGGGAGCUCUACCUGGCGUGCGUCCGGUGGCCGCAGCGGACGAGCGCGGUGCUGCGGCGCCGCCUGGCUUCCGAAGGGCGGCCAAACGCCUCAGCCCAAGCAUCUUCCACAGGGAGUGCCGCGGGCUUGCCAGCGUCUUUGGUGUCGAGCUCCGCUGCCGGCGGCUCGGUCGGAGGAGGCACUGCGUCUCCCGCGUCUGGCGUGAACCCCGCUUUGCGAGGUCUCUCAUCUUCGCAGUCGUCUGGGCAGGCGCAGGUGCUGCCGGAGGUGAUUACGCGUCGCUCCUCGACGCCGAGCGGUGCCUCUCCGUUGCCGAGCUCGCCGACAACGACACCGGUGCUUGGCAACGUCAGCGCAGUUGCUGCAGCUGCAACUACCGGCGUUGGCAGUGCAUCAAGUCACAUCAUCACUCCGGCCAUGACGCCUGUUGUGCUGCCAUCCUCCUCCUCCUCUACCGCGGCCAAUGCUGGCGGUGGCUCUGCAAGCGGUAAUGCAACUGACCUGAGCUCCCCGUCUCUUGGAGCCACAAACCCGCACACCUCGGCUGCCACGUCGCUGAGCAACACCAUGAUAGAGGAGGAGGGCAAGGAGGGGUCUCCCUAUCCGGACUCGACGCCGCUGGCCUCCGUGGAGGCCAUCAAGUCAUUCCUUUAUGAUAACGUUUUGCGCCUAAUGGAAUCCUGAGCAGGUUUUUUUUUUGGGGUGUGCUGUGGCCCGAGUGAUGUGCGACGAGGUGAGGUGUGAGGCGUGGGCCUGUGCUGCAUCUUUUCCGCUUGCUUGUGCCCGCUUGCCUUGAUUCGCUUGUUUACGUUGUGUGUUGUCUCUGUGCUUCUUUGAGUGUGUGUGUGUUUUCGCCUGUUUUCUGGGGUAUACGUGAGCGCGCCGUUCGAGAAAGCUAAGACUCACACGCUAGUGCACACAGACAUGCCGACACGCAUGGCCAUGCACACGCAUCCAACCAAGCGCUGGCCAAGUGGUUGUUGUAUGCCGAUGGGUGUUGCCGGGGCGUGCGCAGCUUGAUCUCGGGGUGGGCUGCACGUGCCGUGUCGUAACGUCUUGUGUUGUCUGUUCGUCUGUCUCUGUCUGUCUCUCUCUCUCUCUCUCUGUGUCCAUGUCUGUGUCUGUGUGUGUGUGUGCACGCCGCCUGUCUGUUCGACUCCCCUUUCGUUUCGUGUUGUUGUUGAUGUCGGUGUGCGCGUUGGUGACCGUCUGCAUUUUCAACUUUCUUACGUCGUCGUCGUCGUCCUUGUUUGAGUGAUGGCUGCUGCCGUGCACGAGUGCGUGUGCGUGCAGAGCGAUGUGAACGGUUGGUGCGGUUCUCGUGCAGCGAUGCUCACUGCUUCUCGAGAAGGUCAUGCGCGGGCUGAAUGAGAGAUGGCGAUGGCGACGAUGCAGGUCAUGUAUGCGCUGAUAUUGCGUUUUCGCGUAGCUGUAUGUUUCUGUUGUGUGCCAGGUUGGACAGUGCGUUUGCGUGGAACUCUCAUGGAGAAAAUGCCCGAAGCGCCCUAUUUGCCGCUCCUUCCUUUCCUCCGGCUGCCACGACCGCGUGGUAGCCCUGGAGGCCGACCGGGGGAUGCUAG
Molecule: unclassified non-coding RNA, 9753 nt
Filed under: Leishmania donovani
Lineage: Eukaryota; Euglenozoa; Kinetoplastea; Trypanosomatida; Trypanosomatidae
Description: gene:LdHU3.29.1750(CDS-product:hypothetical_prote in_conserved)
Source: RNAcentral